CAGCUAGAAAUAAAAAAAAAACUCAAACACUUUCUCUUCUCUGUUAGGGUUUCAAAAUCCCUUUUGGGCCGUCGCCGUUUUGACCCCUCUCGCCGCGGUUCUACCGCGAUCUGCGGUCAGAGGCGCGGCUAAGCCGCUUCAAUCUCCCUGAAGCCGAUUUGGAGGUAAGGUAAAACAUCCAUUUCCUUUUCUUUUUUAUUAAUAGUUUUUUUUUAAAACAAACGGAUUUAUAAAAAAAUGGAAACAAAAAUAAAAAUGAAUCAAAAAAUAACACAAGAAAAAGAAUGAAGAAAAACAACCUUUUGUUUUCUUUUUUAUUUCUAAUGCCUGUUCAAACUAGAAGAAAAAGAAGAACCCCUUUUACAAACUAUUUUUGGGCUAUUUAUAGCCGAUAAAAAAAACAUGCUUUUUCUGUUUUUCUUUCUUUUGUUCUUGCUUGCGUGCUUGUUUUGUUUUGCAGGGGGUUAGUGGCCGGUGGCAGAGAGCAGGUGCGGUGGCAGAGCAGGUGGACAGAGGGUCGGUUGCUGAAGAGACGUGCGGCGCCUAGGUUGGGGGCUAGGGUUUUUUUCUGAAAAUGUUUUAGGUGUUGGCUAAUUGGGCUUUUAAUUUUUUUGGGCUGUUUUGAUUUGGGUUGGUAUUUGGGUCUAGGUAGGUUGUAAUGGGUAGGGGUUUAGGUUUGGGUUUUAAUUGGGUAUUGGGCCCUAGGCAAAUUUAGGCUUGUACACUUUGUUAUCAUCAUCGAUCUCCUAAACAAUAUAGACCAACCUGCCUUCAAAUUUCCGUACCCAGCCAUUCGUAAUUUUAUUUUCUCUACCCUUAUCGGCAUCACCCUUGCUGAAAAUGAAAUUCCACUCCUCUUCAAGAAACAUCCAUACGCCUUAUAUGCCUGCUUUAUAUCAAUCAACUUUUCAAGAAACUGCAUGCUGCAAUAAAUGGAGCCAUGGUUUUAACUUUAUCAAUUCUGGCUUAUGCUGAUUUCUUUAAUUUCUUCUAGUAUUUGUCUCAUUUUUUUAUAACUAGUUUUAACUCAGAAGGAUAUCACGUAUUGAUUUUACAUAAGCAACCUAUUUAAAAAUUUAAUAUUAACAAUAUUUAAUAAAUUUGUUUUCUCUAAUAGCCAUAAUUCAGUAGAGGAGGUUGUGGAUCAGAUGUUUCAUGGUGAGGAGUAGAGCUGUUCAUGGGCCGGGCCGGGUUCGGAAAAAUUUUUGGCUCUUGUCCUAGGCCCGGGUUCGGCCCGAAAUAUGGGCCUGAAAUUUUGUCCAUGCUUGGCAUAGGAAAAAAUUCAUAAGCUUGAGCCCGACCCGGCCCAUUUUUUAAAUAUACACCAAAAAAUUUUAAAAAAUAAAAAUAAAAUAAAAAUAUUUAUUAUAUUCGGGCCGGGCGGUGCCUGGGCCAAAAAAGUGAUGCUCGAUGCUCGGCCCAUUUUCUAAAUGGGCCUCUUUUUUUGCCUAAACUCAUAUUUUAAGCCUAUAUUUUUACCCGAACCCUCCCAUAUUUCGGGCAGGCUGUUGGGCCAAGCCGCACGGCCCAUGAGCACAUCUAGUGAGGAGUUAUAUGGGAUCGAAAACCAAUAUACUGCAUUGCAUUCUAAUGGUAACGGGCAGGUGUUGGUUUCCAUCGGAUAGAGGACGGGUUAAGCUCAAUAUAGAUAGAGCAAAUUCGCUGAAUGUUGUUAAUGCUUUUAUUGGAGAAGUGUUUAGGGACUCGGAUGCAAAUAGGUUAUGCGGCUUUUCAAUGAGGAUUGGUAAGAAUUCAAUUUUUAGAAUUGAAACAAGAUUGAUUUUAGAAGGGUUGGCAUAGCUUGGGAGAGGAAUUUUAGACAAAUAGAUGUGGAGUGUGAUAAUGCACUUCUAGUGGAAACUAUUUUAUCUUGUGGCACUGCUAGUAGUAAAAUGAUGGAAUUAUGCCUGAUUCAUCAAUUGCUAACCUAAAAUUGGAUUUCCUAAAAUUGGAUUUUCCAAUUUUGUCAUAUUUUGAGAUCUCUAAAUGAAGUUGCCGACCAAAUGAAAAAAUAUGCUCUUAACGGUGUCUCAAGGUUACUCUACUUUGAAGAGCCUCCAAGUUCGAUGUGUGAUAUGUUGAGGGAUAGAAAUAAUUCUUCAAUACUUAGUCUAUGUUUAAUAUUGUAAUUGCG
This 2134-nucleotide long non-coding RNA is filed under the name Gossypium barbadense (sea-island cotton). RNAcentral describes it as "long non-coding RNA (GBAR_LNC016401)". Lineage: Eukaryota; Viridiplantae; Streptophyta; Magnoliopsida; Malvales; Malvaceae. The record is from RNAcentral.